RNA transcript from Bombus huntii, 8863 nucleotides. RefSeq lists it as uncharacterized. NCBI's taxonomy places the organism in Eukaryota, Metazoa, Arthropoda, Insecta, Hymenoptera, Apidae. The transcript has 16 exons. The record is from RefSeq and is a predicted model, not a curated record.
AAAAUUGAAGUUAAAAUUCCAACUAAUUUAUAUAUCUUAUUAAUCUUUAAAUAUAAUGCGAAAUUCACUUUUUAAUCUAUUUUUUAUUCCAAUAAUUUUGAUUUUCAAUUGCUAUUUUAAUUACAGACAGCAAAAUUCAGUAGGAAUAUAUAAUUACGUAAAAAUGAUUAAUUAUUGUUCUAUGAAAUAUUGUAAUUCUCGUAAAUUAUUAAUCGUCGCUCAAUUUUUUUUAAUCGAGUAAAGAGAAUACUUGGCUAAAGUAAGGAACUAAAUUAAUUAGUUUAUAUCACACGAUAUUCUCGGUUUUCCCAGUAUUUUGUAAGAGUUGAAGAAUUUCUCCGAUAGAUAAAAUGUUUCUCGAUUACGAUAUGUAUUGGUACUAAUAUAUGUUUCUUGUCUCUAUCAUGUAGUAGUAAAUGAUUGUUGGUAUCAUUUCACAAUCUUUAUAUAUUCAUUUCUUUUUGAUGACAGCGACACGAGAACGCUGAUAAAACAGAUUUAAUCCGCACAAGUGAGAUAUUUUUAUUAAUUUUGCUGGUUUACUUUUUUUGUAAUAAUAAUUCGUUUCGUAAAAGAUAGAGAAGGACUUAAAAUUAAUAAUUUUAAUUAUGGAAAAUACAUUCCUUAUGAAAACAAUAUUAUCAACUUUAGUUUUUCUCCUCAACUUCACUUUUUUUAUUUUAUUAAAUUUUUUCUUAAUUUAAUCAACCUAAAAAAUCUGAAACAUUAUUAAAGAAAUAACAAGAAGUAUCAGAGAAAAGAAUUAUUGAUAUUCCUGUUAUUUAAUAAUGCUUUAAAACGACCUAUGGUCGACAUUACGUCUAAUUGUUUAACGAAGAAAUGUGUAAAGAGAGUAAAAAUAUAUUUUUGUAGCUCGUUAUAUAAACCGCGUAGAACGCAAGAAUUAAACUGCAUUUAGGGACUUCUUUUUGUCGUUUAGUGUCCAAAAUUAAUUGACCCGCCUACGAUCAUAUAAACAGGUCUCGACCGUAUUCGUAUAAACAGGUAUCUCGACACUCAUAUACCUACAUGAUUAUCUAAACAGAUCUUGAUGAUUAUAUACCAAAGUCUAGGAAAAAUCGUCCGAAAAUUGAGUCGUAAAAUAUCAAUAUGGAAGGUUCUCGUUUUGCGCAUGCGUAAAGUGCUAUGAAUGCUUCGGACAGAAACGGGAACAUUCUACUUAUCUUUAUCUGCCUCGCAAGAACGUGGACUUUAUUGACCUUCCGUGUUGAUUUUUUAUGACUAGACACGGCUCAAUUUUCGGACGGUUUUCUCUAACGAAUAUCGAAACCUGUUUAUAAAUUUGUUUAUAUCCAGAAUGUCUCCGUAUCUCCAGUACGAUCCUAUUACGCUAUCAUGAAAACUUGCCUUCAAUAUAGUCACAUAAAUUUAAAUUUACUAACUGAUUGUAUAUACGGAUAGAAAAGUCUGCAUUGUUCAGAUAUUUACCAAGAAAUAACUCGGGAAAUUAGAAGCACUUCAUCAAGUAACGUCCAGUUGAAUGCCGCAUUGACAAUUUUGGGACAAGUCACCUAUAGUCUGUAAAGAAGUUUGGAUUUUCUCGAGAUCUUUUUCUUUGACAAUCCAUGUAAACUUUCCUAAACGUUUUACCAUCUCUCAUGAGAUAUUUUUUUUUUUCGCGCGUGCUAGUUUCUAAGUACAUACAAUCUUGGAAAAAGUUUUAGAUUUGAACUACAAAAGUUCUUUCAAUUUUCACGGACUUCGGCGAACAGAACGGUUUAGUGAACCAUGGGCACCAACUCACUCACUCUUUUACCCUAAAGCUGCAAACUUAACGUAACACCUGGUAACGCUCAUAUGAAACAGGUCUGGACACUCACUAGGGAAACCCGUUCAUCUUUUGAUUCAAAAAAUACCAAGAUGGAGAGUGAGGAAAAGCCUCGCUCUGUGAAACAAACAGAAAUAGAUAGAGUGAGUCUGUCAUUGUGUGAAAUAUUCGUAAUAUCUAUGCAUAUGUAUAUUCGCAUUACGCUUGCGUAAAAGGGACCUUUUCUUGCUUUACAUCUUGAUUUUUUUCGACUCAAAAGAUGAAUGGUUCUAUCAAUGCUUUCAGUAUCGAAGUGUCUAUACUCCAGACGUGUUUAUACUAUCGUAGUCUCCAGUCGCCAUAAGUUCCGAUCAGUUUCGACGUUUUCGUGCCAAGUUUCGAUUUAGUUGCUGUACAAUAAAAAAAGCUUUUCGUGAAUUGCAUUUCAAAAGUGUAGCAGCUUCCUGGACAUCCAGUCCGUCCAAACGGACUGCGGCCCUUAAAACAGUUUGGAAUGCACUAGCAAACCAUUUGCUAGAGCGAGAGAGAUUUAGAAAAUGCAAAAUUGGAACCAAUGGCAAUUGUCAGCUGGUGCUGUUGCUACUCCAAUGCCACAACCACCAGUUGGUUAUGCUGUACCAGGAACAGAUCCUACGGCUAUGAUGCAAGCAUACAUGCAGUAUUAUAAUCAACCAGCACCUAGUGGGUAUACAGCUGAACAAUGGGCCGCAGCUCAACAACAAAACUGGGCUCAGUGGCAGCAAUGGCAGCAACAAUAUCAGCAAUGGCAAGCACAGUAUGGGGAGAAGUAUCAAGAAACAAUGAAACACAUGUCAGCCCAGAACAUGAGCUUAGCUAAUCAGGUGUCACAGUUACCAAUCGUACAACCUCCACCACCUCUUCCAAAAGAGGAUACAAAACCGCCAUUACCUCCUAAUAAUAUGAACACAUAUCAAUUUACAAGCAUGCCUCCUCCACAUCAAAACAAUCUUCCAUUAUUUCCCGUUAAACAAAACGCGAAUACACCAAUGCAACAAACAAAUAUACAAAACUGUCCUCAAAAUCCCCCUUUACCUCCAAAUCAGCCACCAUUACCUCCUGAAAAUAACAAUAGUAGUAAAGAAAAUAAUAGUUUAAAUGGUAAACGCAGUAAUAGUAUCGGUAGUGAAUCUAAUAGUGCUAAAAAGUUGAAAAUUGAAGAUGAAGAACUAACUGAAGCUGAGAAAACAUUUGACGCUCAGUUUAAACAGUGGGAGGAGCAGUUUAAUAAGUGGAAACAGCAAAAUGCUAAUCAUCCAGACAAGACCCAAUACAAACAAUACGAAGCUAAAUGGACAUCCUGGCGAGAGAAGCUUAUCGAACGACGUGAACAAAUGCGUAGGAAACGCGAGCAACAAAAGCAAACUGUUGUUAAAGUAGAUAUUGAAAAGAAUAAAGGCUCGUCUGGUGAUGAUAAAAUACUGAACAUUCUAUCCAGUACAGAAAAUCAAGGAUUAAUUAACAAUUUAUUGGGUAUUGGGAAAACUCUUGGCUUAACUGCAAAGCAGAGUAUUAAUGUACCUCCACCGCCACCGCCGCCACCAGCAACAGAAACAGUAGCGUCUAACAUUCAAACGGCAACCUCCUCUCAAGUAUCACAGUCGUCGACAACUCAACUACCAGUCAUGAACAUGAUGUCUUCUAAUAUGACUUCGUCACCUUGGAAUUCUCAACAAUGGACAGCACAGUAUAAUGCAGGCGUGAACGUAUCGAAUUUCUCUAACUUCCAAGCUAUGACUGGAGUACCUCCACCUCCAUUUAAUAUGCCACCAACUCAAAUGCCUCCACCAAACUUUACACAACCGCCGCCGAAUUUUCCAGCUAUACCAAACUUUUCACAACCACCGCCAGGUUUUGUUAGCAAUGACUCACGACAGAAUCACAACGUACGACCUCCAGUUCCACCCAACAUGCAAGGAAGGCCUCCUUCAUUCGGAAUGAAUACUGGUAAAGGUCCAGAUAAUAAUUUGAUACACAACGAACGUCAAAAUCAACCUGGUUCUAUGAGCAACUUUGACUCAGUAGGUCAUCAGGGUAAUUUCGGUAUAAAUGACGCUGGGCAUCAAAAGGAAGGCAUACCAGCAGAACGUUUUGGUCCAGAUAGUAUAAAUGAUCAACAAGGUAAUCAAUUUCGCAAUGAUAUGUUUGGUCAACGAAAUGAAAAUUAUAAAUUAAACGAUGAACGAGUAUCUGAAGCCGAACAAUUUAGAAGAGAAGAUAGGAACUAUCAAGAACACGGAAAUAGUCAGUUCAAUCAACAGAAAAUGAACUUUAACAACGAUAGAUUUGCUUCUGGAAACGAUCGGUUUGGGCCAGGAAACAAUCGGUUUGGUCCAACGAAUGAUAGAUUCGGACCUGGAAACGAUCGAUUUGGACCUGGAGAUAACAGAUUCGUUGCUGGAAAUGAUAGAUUUGGACCAGGAGGUGACAGGGUAGGACAAGGAACUGAAACUGUUAAUGAUCGUUUUGGAACAAACAAUAAUCGAUUUGGUCCAAAUAAUGAACCUUAUGGUCCUGGGGGUGAUAGGUUUAAUAGGAAUAGUAUGGAUCGUUUUGACCAAAAAGACGUAGUAGAUAAUAGACGUGAUAGUUUUCCAAAUGUUCCAAGGGGUUUCGGUAGGAAUAAUCAAUUUGAACCACCAGAUAAAUUUGCUCCAGAACUAAAGAAGCUUAUGGAAAAAAGGAGAGCAGCGAUGGACGUAUUCAAACCAAGCUAUUUUGAUUCUGAUAAAAGUAGCAGCGUUGGUUCACUGAGUGAAAGCUUUAAGAAGAUUACAGGUGAUUCUCCAUUCAUGAAAUCUGUUGGAAACCAAAAUUUGGGACCUCGUGGAUCUUCUAACUUUGGAUCAGGCGCACCUGGUAAUUUCAGAAUACCUGGAGAUUUUAAGCUUCAUGGAAAUCCUGACUUUGGACCCCGUGCUCUUCUAGGUAUUGUACGCAACAAUUCGUUCGAUUCGCGGGAUUCAUUCAAAGGAUCGAAUUCUAGUUCACAACAAAUGCAAGAUCUUAUGCAUACCGAACCUAGAUCGGAAAUGGCGAAUAUCGGAAACGACACGAAUGUGAAGAACGAGGUUAAAAAUGAAUCUACUACUGUAGUAGAACAAGUUGCGGUAAAUAAUUCAAAAUCGACUGAACAAAACGUCGAUAAUAUACAAAAAGACAGUUCUGAAAACUAUUCAAUACAGAAAGACAUUCCAUUACUAGAAAAACCACCUUGGGUUAACGCUCAACUUCCUGAAGAUAGCUUAUUGCAGAAGGAUAGUAUUAAGGAGGAAGAAAUUCCGUCUACGAACUACAGCUCUUCAGAACAGGAUCCACAGAAUGCUUUCAAAGAACAAACAGAGGUAAAGCAAGAACUAUCUAAUAAUGAUAGUGAAAAUACCGAGAAAAAACCUGAAGUGUUACCUUUUAUGGGAGAAAAUGAUCUAAAACCUGAAGAUUUAAAUAUGGAGCCACCGCCUGAAUUACCCAAUUUAGGUCCUGUUCUUACAGACACUAAUGAACCUACUGAUUCUGUACAAAGAACAGAUGAACCAUAUGAUGGAAAAGAGUCUUCCUUGAAAUCAUUUGUAAGUAACACUGAAUCUUAUGAACCAAGAGGACCUUUUGAUGCUACAUUUGGUCCAAGGGGAAUGCCAUUUAGAUCAAGUACACCUUUUUUGAGUCCAAGAGGUUCUAACAAUGUAAGAUUUCCUAUGUUUGAACCACCAUUUAAUUCUUCUGGUCCAAAUCCGUACUCAUUAGGUCCUCGUGGACCCAAUGAUGUACAAUUUGGUCCAAGAGCUUUGAAUGAUGGGCAAUUUGACUCAAGAGGCUCGAACGAUGGACAGUUUGGUCCAAGAGCUUCGAAUAAUGCGCAAUUUGGUCCUCGAGGUCUUGGUGAUGGACAAUAUGGCCCUCGAGGUACUGGUGAUGGACAAUUUGGUCCAAGAGCUUCUAAUGAUGGGCAGUUCGGUCAACGAGGUCCAAACGAUGCACAAUUUGGCCCAAGGGGACCUAAUGAUGGACAAUUUGGUCCUAGAAGUGUCAAUGAUGGAAUGUUUGGACCAAGAGGUCCUAAUGAUGGAUUAUUUGGGACGAGAGGACCCGUUGAAAAUCAAUUCGGUUUAAGAGCUCCUAAUAAUGCACAGUUUGGACCUAGACCUUCGAAUAUUGGACAAUUUGGCCCCAGAUAUGAUGCUCAGUUAAAUUUAAGCAGACCUAAUGAUGGACAAUUCGGUCCUAGAGGGACGAACGAUGGUCAAUUUGGGCCCCAUGGGCCUAAUAAUAGACCGUUUGAUAAUCGAGGUCUUUGCGAUCAGUUUAUGCCCAGAGGACUUAACGAAGGACAGCCAAGAUUUUCAGGACUCAAUGAUAGACUUUUUGGUUCACGACGCAAUGAUCCACCUUAUCAACGAAGUCCGGGUGGUUCGAAAGGUGCAAACGACGGCGGCCAGUUUUCAAAUAGAUUUAAUGAAAAACAAUUUGAUAAUUCUACUGAUGGAUGCUUUGGUUCACAGAGUUCUAAUGAUGCAUAUUUUGGUCCACGAGGUCCAAUAGGUAGCUCAAAUGACACCUCUUUCUUAUCUCGAGGGCAACCUGACAGAUCUUUUGAUAAUCGACAACUUGAUGUCAGAGGAAUUGGAGAACUUAGAUCAAAAGGACCAAUUGAUAAUAAUUCUGGUUCCAAGAUACAGGGUACUUCAGAAAUAAGUGGUGAUGGUGGAGUAUUCGCUAACAAUGAGCAAAUAUCAAUUGAUGAAAGUAUGCAACAGAGGCAAUUCGAUUCUAAUGAUGCGCAGAACUCGCUCUGGAGGCAACCAUACUCUAAAAACAGCUUCGGAGAUGUGGAUCAAAGAUCUGGAAGAGGCUAUCUUGAUAAAUCCAUGUUGCCUCAAAAUGAAUCAUUUAAUCAGAGUAUAGCGAACGACAUAGAACGACGAUCUCCUAAGAAUGGAAAUAAAUGUAACGUUCCUGAUAAAAGAUCAGAGAGAAAUAUGAACGAUAUAACGGUGAGUGAUUACAAGACUGGAUACACAGAAUCUUCCGCAGGUUCUGAUUAUACAAAAUUCGAUAACUCUAAUAUAUACGUGAAACGACCUAUGGAUAACAGACAAAGCCAAGUCAGGUGUUCAGCUGUGAAAGAAUUUUGUAUAGAGAAACAAUUUAAUUAUAAUCAUAGCGGGGCUAGUAGCGACAAGAAAUUUAUCGAACAUAUACCUGCUAAAGUAAUAGAUUAUGCCCACACUUCCCGAUCAUCGAAUCAAGAUCACUUAACUCCUGUGCAAUGUUUCGACUAUGGACAUGGCAAUUUAAAACCUCUAGUGCCAGAGCAUGAAGUGUACCCAAAGAAAGAUUUUAGAAAUUGGGAGGAGAACGAACAGAAUUUAAAAGAUUAUACAGAGAAAAUCAGAAGGUACGAAUGUUAUGCGAACAAAACAGAAUCUAGGCAUCCUCGAGACUACAAACAAAGAAGGAAUAGCGAAGAAUUCAUAGACGAUAGAAAACCUGAAAGGGAACGCAGAGAGAAAGAGGACUAUAAAGCGAAAGAACGUGAUGAUAGGAUAUUUGAUCAUACAUCUGACAAAGAUCAAGAUAACCGCUAUGAUAAGAGUCCCAUUAAAGAAAGAACGCGGGAAAGAUGUGAACCGUCUCAGAAGGAAACGACUAAAGAGAAUGACAAAGAUGAAGACAGAUCGAAAGGAAAUAUAAACUGGCAGGAGAAUUCGAACAAGAACGUCAUAGAUACAAAGCCAUCAGAGAACAGUGUUACAGAUGCUCAGCAUAAUGUGUUGGAAUCUACACCAAAAACUUUGGAAUUGGCAAAAACACCAAACUGCACAAUGGUGGAUGACUUAUUGUGCCCUCCAGGUCGUCAGAACAGACCACCAAAAAUAGCUAUAAUUUUAAGGGGUCCACCAGGCAGUGGAAAAUCUUUUGUGGCGAAACUUAUUAAGGAUAAGGAAGUUGAACAAGGAGGUUCUGCACCACGAAUAUUAAGUCUUGAUGAUUAUUUCUUGGUAGAGAAAGAGAUGGAAUCCACAGAUGAUAACGGAAAGAAAGUUACGGUUAAGGAAAUGGUCUAUGAGUACGAGGAAGCAAUGGAGCAAAGUUACAUCACAUCUCUUGUUAAAGCUUUUAAAAAGAAUAUUACCGAUGGUUUCUUUAAUUUCAUUAUAUUGGAUUGUAUCAACGAAAAAAUAUCCGAUUAUGAAGAAAUGUGGAGUUUUGCUAAAACAAAAGGCUUCAAAGUGUAUGUUUGUGAGAUGGAAAUGGAUUUACAAAUUUGUUUAAAAAGAAAUAUUCAUAAUCGUACAGAAGAUGAAAUAAAUAGAAUUAUAGAUUAUUUUGAGCCAACUCCAAGUUAUCAUCAAAAAUUGGAUGUUAAUUCUAUGUUACAGGAACAAGCAAUUGAAGAAGUUCAUAUGGAAGACACUGAAGAAAUCCAGGAGAAAUCUCCACAACAAAAUGAAGAUAGUCAAGAUAGUCAAGAUGAUACUCAAGAUACUAUUGGGGUUAGCAAGUGGGAACGUAUGGAAGCAGAGGACAAAUUAGAUCGUUUGGAUGGGCUUGCAAAAAAGAAAAAUGAAGGAAAGGUGCAAACUAUGAAAGAUUUCCUUCAAGUUCCUGACUAUUAUAACAUGGAAGAUACUUCUGGCAAAAAACGUGUACGUUGGGCAGAUUUGGAAGAACGUAAAGAACAAGAAAAAAUGCGCGCUGUAGGAUUUGUAGUCGGUCAUACAAAUUGGGAUCGUAUGAUGGAUCCCACAAAAGGAGGAAGCGCCUUAACACGCACAAAGUAUAUAUGAUUUAACUUUACCUCUAGGUUAUCUAGAAAAAAUUACAAAAAUUGAUAUUAAUCGCGUGUUUUUCUCACUAUCAUAAUGACAUAUUUUUAUUCGACUACAGUAGUGUACAGAAGUGAACACGAGAUGUCUUCAAACUUUCAAAUUCUUCAGAUGAUGUAUGGUUCUAUUAUAGCCUUAUAGAAAAUCUAGGCUAGUGUAAAUCUUGUUAAUUUAUGUAAAGCAUGCUGUAAUUAUUGUACAUAAUAUUAAUGAAAUUGUUUUCACGAUA